GGGGAUAACACUUGGAAACAGGUGCUAAUACCGUAUAACAAUCGAAACCGCAUGGUUUUGAUUUGAAAGGCGCUUUCGGGUGUCGCUGAUGGAUGGACCCGCGGUGCAUUAGCUAGUUGGUGAGGUAACGGCUCACCAAGGCCACGAUGCAUAGCCGACCUGAGAGGGUGAUCGGCCACAUUGGGACUGAGACACGGCCCAAACUCCUACGGGAGGCAGCAGUAGGGAAUCUUCGGCAAUGGACGAAAGUCUGACCGAGCAACGCCGCGUGAGUGAAGAAGGUUUUCGGAUCGUAAAACUCUGUUGUUAGAGAAGAACAAGGAUGAGAGUAACUGUUCAUCCCUUGACGGUAUCUAACCAGAAAGCCACGGCUAACUACGUGCCAGCAGCCGCGGUAAUACGUAGGUGG
This 409-nucleotide ribosomal RNA is filed under the name Enterococcus durans. RNAcentral's name for it is "bacterial SSU rRNA". It matches the Rfam family "Bacterial small subunit ribosomal RNA", at positions 139 to 534 of the family's 1533-position model. The record is from RNAcentral. Lineage: Bacteria; Bacillati; Bacillota; Bacilli; Lactobacillales; Enterococcaceae.